GCUGAAGAUAUUGGACGCCAGGUACAACUUCUCUUCCAUAUCAAAACAUUCUGUUGGGGAAAAACGUUAGGAAGGAUAGGACUUCAAUGUGAAUUAUUAGGUCUGAUGAUUGCAUUAUUUGUAUAAACCAAAUUGUAUUAGAUUUAUCAAGCACAUUGCUUGGUAUAGAGAUAAUCCAAAGCGCUAUUAAAUGAGAAGAUGCUAGUAUCUGAAUAAAUCAGCCUUGAAAUAAUUGCUUGACUAUUGAUUCUAUAUUUUAAGUGACAUUUGUUAUAUCAAUUAAUACAUGUUAGUUUAUCUGAGACAUUUCAGUUUAUUUAUUUCUUAUUUUUUUUAAUCAUUAAUUUAAACUUCACUGUGCAUGUAUAACGUUUAGAGGGUGCCAUAGGGUUGAGGUUAAAGAGGGUUAACGGUUAAGCUUUAACAUUGUUUGGUUGGUCUGAUCCUAGGGGUUAACAGUAAAGGAGAUUAAUGGUUAACUCUUACAAUGUAUUUUUGUUAACCUCCUCCUCAUUAGGUUAAAGAGGUUAAAGGAGAGGAAAGAGUGGUAAGGAGAAUUUUUUUUUUUAAUUGUAUUAACAUUUAUCACAACUAAAAU
Molecule: unclassified non-coding RNA, 598 nt
Filed under: Hevea brasiliensis (rubber tree)
Lineage: Eukaryota; Viridiplantae; Streptophyta; Magnoliopsida; Malpighiales; Euphorbiaceae
Source: RNAcentral